This 73-nucleotide transfer RNA is filed under the name Stegodyphus mimosarum. It matches the Rfam family "tRNA". Rfam says of the family: Transfer RNA (tRNA) molecules are approximately 80 nucleotides in length. Their secondary structure includes four short double-helical elements and three loops (D, anti-codon, and T loops). The record is from Rfam by way of RNAcentral. Lineage: Eukaryota; Metazoa; Arthropoda; Arachnida; Araneae; Eresidae.
GCUUUCGUGGUGUAGUGGUUAGCACGCUUCACGGGUAUUCGAGAGGUCUGUGGUUCGAGUCCCGGUGAGGGCA